GAGUUUGAUCCUGGCUCAGAGCGAACGCUGGCGGCAGGCUUAACACAUGCAAGUCGAACGCAUCCUUCGGGGUGAGUGGCAGACGGGUGAGUAACACGUGGGAACGUACCUUUUGGUCUGGGAUAACUCAGGGAAACUUGAGCUAAUACCGGAUACGCCCUUUGGGGGAAAGAUUUAUUGCCGAAAGAUCGGCCCGCGUCUGAUUAGCUAGUUGGUGAGGUAAUGGCUCACCAAGGCGACGAUCAGUAGCUGGUCUGAGAGGAUGAUCAGCCACACUGGGACUGAGACACGGCCCAGACUCCUACGGGAGGCAGCAGUGGGGAAUAUUGGACAAUGGGCGCAAGCCUGAUCCAGCCAUGCCGCGUGAGUGAUGAAGGCCUUAGGGUUGUAAAGCUCUUUCGGCGGGGACGAUAAUGACGGUACCCGCAGAAGAAGCCCCGGC
RNAcentral lists this ribosomal RNA (442 nucleotides) under uncultured Alphaproteobacteria bacterium. Its description in RNAcentral is "bacterial SSU rRNA". It matches the Rfam family "Bacterial small subunit ribosomal RNA", at positions 9 to 497 of the family's 1533-position model. The record is from RNAcentral. Lineage: Bacteria; Pseudomonadati; Pseudomonadota; Alphaproteobacteria.